This 632-nucleotide long non-coding RNA is filed under the name Hordeum vulgare. RNAcentral describes it as "long non-coding RNA (HVUL_LNC017560)". The record is from RNAcentral. Lineage: Eukaryota; Viridiplantae; Streptophyta; Magnoliopsida; Poales; Poaceae.
GCGCCGAGCAUUAUUGUAGGGCCCCGGAGUUGAGGGAAUCCUCUGUUUCAUUGUUUCAUUUUCAUCCUUGUUAGUCUUUUGUUUCAAGGAGAACUGGCCAGUCACAACCACCACCAUAGACCAGGUAUGGCCUCGGUUGCGGUGACUCACCAGUGACAACCACCACCAUAGACCAGGUAGAAGCCAGGUUUAAACAAUGGCUGAAAACCUGCCUAUCUAGGAGAAGCACCAAGAAUACGACGUUUAGUUGGAGAUGAUAUGACCAGCUCUGAAGAUUCACCAACGUGUUAUGGUCAUGUGAGCUGAGUGUCAAAGCAAUAGAUGUCAUCUGAGGAGUGACACACACACGCCCAUUUAGGCCUUGUUCGGUUGACAGGGAUAUAGAAGGGGUUUAACAGGGAUUGAGAUGGAUAUAAACCCCUACAAGUCAAAACUCACCCCAAUCCCCUUCAAUCCUCUUGAGAAGAGGUGUAACCGAGCAAGACCUCAAGGUCGUUGAGAGCUGCUUUUGAUUGCAGUACCAACCAAAGAACAUCAUGACGACGAAGAGUAAACGGGGGGCUACUUUGUCCACUGAGUAACGAUCAUCUCAUUCCCGAUGUCUCACAUUUCUAGUGAACUUUGAUCUUUUU